Molecule: ribosomal RNA, 253 nt
Filed under: uncultured bacterium
Lineage: Bacteria
Description: partial 16S ribosomal RNA
Rfam family: Bacterial small subunit ribosomal RNA
Source: RNAcentral
UACGAAGGGGGCUAGCGUUGUUCGGAUUCAUUGGGCGUAAAGGGUGCGUAGGCGGCGCGGUAAGUCGGGUGUGAAAUCUCGGAGCUUAACUCCGAAACUGCAUUCGAUACUGCCGUGCUUGAGGACUGGAGAGGAGACUGGAAUUUACGGUGUAGUGGUGAAAUGCGUAGAUAUCGUAAGGAAGACCAGUGGCGAAGGCGGGUCUCUGGACAGUUCCUGACGCUGAGGCACGAAGGUCAGGGGAGCAAACGGG